AGUGAACGCUGGCGGUAGGCCUAACACAUGCAAGUCGAACGGCAGCACAGUAAGAGCUUGCUCUUACGGGUGGCGAGUGGCGGACGGGUGAGGAAUACAUCGGAAUCUACUUUUUCGUGGGGGAUAACGUAGGGAAACUUACGCUAAUACCGCAUACGACCUACGGGUGAAAGCAGGGGAUCUUCGGACCUUGCGCGAUUGAAUGAGCCGAUGUCGGAUUAGCUAGUUGGCGGGGUAAAGGCCCACCAAGGCGACGAUCCGUAGCUGGUCUGAGAGGAUGAUCAGCCACCCUGUAACUGAGACACGGUCCAGACUCCUACGGGAGGCAGCAGUGGGGAAUAUUGGACAAUGGGCGCAAGCCUGAUCCAGCCAUACCGCGUGGGUGAAGAAGGCCUUCGGGUUGUAAAGCCCUUUUGUUGGGAAAGAAAAGCAGCAGGUUAAUACCCCGCUGUUCUGACGGUACCCAAAGAAUAAGCACCGGCUAACUUCGUG
This 492-nucleotide ribosomal RNA is filed under the name uncultured bacterium. Its description in RNAcentral is "partial 16S ribosomal RNA". It matches the Rfam family "Bacterial small subunit ribosomal RNA", at positions 29 to 507 of the family's 1533-position model. The record is from RNAcentral.